This 408-nucleotide ribosomal RNA is filed under the name uncultured prokaryote. Its description in RNAcentral is "bacterial SSU rRNA". It matches the Rfam family "Bacterial small subunit ribosomal RNA", at positions 355 to 776 of the family's 1533-position model. The record is from RNAcentral. RNAcentral also lists the same sequence under 1 other name.
UGGGGAAUAUUGCACAAUGGGGGAAACCCUGAUGCAGCAACGCCGCGUGAAGGAUGAAGGUUUUCGGAUCGUAAACUUCUAUCAACAGGGAAGAAACAAAUGACGGUACCUGAAUAAGAAGCCCCGGCUAACUACGUGCCAGCAGCCGCGGUAAUACGUAGGGGGCAAGCGUUAUCCGGAAUUACUGGGUGUAAAGGGAGCGUAGGCGGCAUGUCAAGCCAGAUGUGAAAGCCCGGGGCUUAACCCCGUGGAUUGCAUUUGGAACUGGCAAGCUAGAGUACAGGAGAGGAAAGCGGAAUUCCUAGUGUAGCGGUGAAAUGCGUAGAUAUUAGGAAGAACACCAGUGGCGAAGGCGGCUUUCUGGACUGAAACUGACGCUGAGGCUCGAAAGCGUGGGGAGCAAACAGG